RNAcentral lists this ribosomal RNA (168 nucleotides) under Lithocarpus hatusimae. Its description in RNAcentral is "5.8S ribosomal RNA". It matches the Rfam family "5.8S ribosomal RNA". Rfam says of the family: 5.8S ribosomal RNA (5.8S rRNA) is a component of the large subunit of the eukaryotic ribosome. The record is from RNAcentral. Lineage: Eukaryota; Viridiplantae; Streptophyta; Magnoliopsida; Fagales; Fagaceae.
CUCUCGGCAACGGAUAUCUAGGCUCUCGCAUCGAUGAAGAACGUAGCGAAAUGCGAUACUUGGUGUGAAUUGCAGAAUCCCGCGAAUCAUCGAGUUUUUGAACGCAAGUUGCGCCCGAAGCCACCCGUGGCCGAAGGCACGUCUGCCUGGGCGUCACGCACCGUUGCC